GUGCUCACUUUAGUAGCACCUAAACUAAAAUUAGAACGAUAUGGAGAAGAUUAGCGUGGUCCCUGCGCAAGAAUGAUACUCCAAUUCGUGAAGCAUUCCAUUAAAAA
This is a small nuclear RNA of Perognathus longimembris pacificus (Pacific pocket mouse), 107 nucleotides long. NCBI's taxonomy places the organism in Eukaryota, Metazoa, Chordata, Mammalia, Rodentia, Heteromyidae. The record is from RefSeq and is a predicted model, not a curated record.